UGAUCUACCCGAUCUCGUCUGAUCUCGGAAUUCAAGCAAUCUCGGGCUUGGUUAGUACUUGGAUGGGUGACCGCUUGGGAAUACCAAGUGUGAUAAGUA
Ciona savignyi (Pacific transparent sea squirt) is the source of this 99-nucleotide non-coding RNA. The record is from Rfam. Lineage: Eukaryota; Metazoa; Chordata; Ascidiacea; Phlebobranchia; Cionidae.